UAUGUGGAUUAAUUGAUGGUUUUUCAUGAGGUAAAGGUGGAUCCAUGUAGUGGAUGUGAAUCACGGAAUAGGUAUUCAGGGAGCCACCCAGCCUCCUCACCGCUCGAGAUUCCUGGCCGUCGAUCAGUUUUUAGAUCUGUUCUAGACCGUUCGAUCUCGCCCUCAGAUGAUAUCGGCCGUCGGAUCAAGAAACAACACUGACAAUGAAUAGUAGGUCUCAUUCGAUUUUUCUUACCGACUUUUCUUACUCCGGAAUUACGGUCUUGCCUCGCUGGCCUGUGGGGUUCAUCCCUGGUGGGCCGCGGCUGUCAGCGACAGUGGAAGUUGGUCUGGCAUGUGCUUGCGUAAAUGGGCGCAGGGGUCGUGCCACCGCCUGAAAUUUCGGUUCCCCGCUGAGGGCAUUUAUGGGAUUUCAUGUAGCCCCUUGCCACGUGGUUUCCCCCAAUUCGUUGCUUCAUCCCAAUCGCAAGAGACCUAGGUCAUCUCUCUCUCCUCCCCCGUCUCUCUCUCCCUCGCAUCUCUCUCGCGCCGCCGUCGACAUGAGAGCGCAGCGCACUCCGGCGUUCUUCCUCCUUCGUCCCCCCUUUUUGCACCCCAAGCCACAACCUCUCUUGUGUGCCUCCUUUCUCCUCCCCAUCGGGACCGGGCAGGGGAGGAGCAGCGCGGGCCACGGAGACGACGAGGUGGCCGAGCUGCCCGUGGCGCCGUCGCCGUACCUCACGACCCAACAGGAGGUGUGUCGGCCGCAAAGAUGGUAGAGGUCUCCUCCACUCACUCUCUCGCCGCCGCAGGAGGAGUGCGCGCAGGGGGGUGGCGGGUCAAGGUCCGCUCGGCGGCGCCGCCCGCUGAACGGCGGAUCCAUGCGCACCCUCUCCGACGACCUCCCGGGCACACACCCGCUGGAAACGGCGAGGACCACACACUCCGUCCACCACCGGCCACCAGGAGUAGCAGGACCACCACUGUUGCCUGUCCUCUUUGAUUCGAGAUCCACGCUGCUCCACUUCGUCCAGGUGGGGUUCUCUGUUUUGUGCAAAGUGCAGACUGAGAUGGUUUCUUGAAGCAACCAAUCAUUACAACAUAAUACUGCUGCUACCGGUCAUUAAUAUGAAUUUGGUAUCUAAUUGAUUUGUGGUGGCUGGCAAUUAUUUAGGCUUCAGGUUAGUAAGAAUCCCCCCCCCCCAAUCAAAUAUAUGCUAUUUUCCUCCAUUUUGUUCCCAUCUGAUAUCCAGUAGAUGUGAAUCUUAUUCCUUUUCCGUGAAAAGCUACAAUUUUUUUACUGGCACUACUUUACUAUCUUCCAAGGUGUGCUUCCAUUUAAAUUUUGCAGGUCCUUUCAAUCAUUCAUAUUGCCUCUUGAUAUGUUUUACCGGAAGGGAAAUGCAUCCUCUGCUUGAACUUAUGAGCUUUCUGUGUUUAUUUAUUUAUUUCUUGAGUUCAUGCAUUCCUUAGGUUACGCCAUGUUAAUAAAAGCCCAUUAUGUGAUCAGGUAUUCAUACUUGGACCAUAUGACAAUCCUACCAUAGCCACUGCAGCUUGAUGACUGUGUAGUUGCUAGGUGCAGAGGGUGUUGCUAAUAAAUGGCCAUUACUUGAUUAGGUGUUAAUGCUCUACUCAAAUUGCACUGAUAUUGAUCUUAAGAUGUCAAGCUUUUUUAUUAAGUGGUCUUCCUCGACUAAAAUAUCACGGUCUUUCUCUUCUGGUCACUCGCAACGGAUGUUAUGUUUCUUUUUUUGAAGUAUAUUUGGAUGUCUGAAGUUUUUUUCUUGAAUUAUGGCUAUCUUUUAUAGUAGUAAUGCUAAUUUGAGUCAAUAUAUCGGUGUUCCGUACCAUCCUAAAAAUGCGUCUCUGGUCACAGUCAUAGUUCUUAAUUUUCAUUGGAUUCCUAUAUGGUUUCUGAAUAUUUGAUGUUCUGAAUAUUAAGGAAUUACUUAAUUUCUAAAAUAUGUGCAUAUCCUGUUAUCAUCAUUGAGGGAAUCAAUUGGCACAAUUUUAGUGUGUACGUAUAGUUGAUUAAUAUUCAAAAUGUCAUGCUAUGUAACCAUGGGGUUUAGUUUUGCAUCAUGCUUGCCUCUAUAGUUUUGCUUGCUUAAUGGUCCUACUCCAUUGAGUGUUGCUCUUUUACCAAGAGUUAAUUUUCCUUUGGAAGUAUAAAGUUUUAAGCUUCAGAUGUGGUUUAUUAUGUUCCGAUUGGUCCUACUUUCAUACGAUAGAAUGCUGAUAAUUAAUUUUUCAUGCUGAUAGAUGUUGCCCCACCAUUCCAAACAAAAUGUGUAACCAGGCCACCCCUAGGUAUGUUCUUUUUUCAGGUUGGGUAAAAAAGCACUCGACACGAGUCUACCGAGGGCGUCGCCGGCAUAGACACGGUAGACUCGAGGGCAUCGCCAGAAGUCUGCAGGAGGUGGCGAAGCAGACUAGCCGAUGAUGAGAGAUACUAACAGAAAAGGCUGAGACUGGAAAAAGGGAAAGGGAUACGGUGCUCUGGCCAUCGAUUUUAUUGCGAAAGGCAGGGGUUGUCGUGGCCGCGUGAAACGAAAUGUGUAACCAGGCCACCGCUAGGUAUGUUCUUUUUUCAGGUUGGGUAAAAAAGCACUCGACACGAGUCUACCGAGGGCGUCGCCGGCAUAGACACGGUAGACUCGAGGGCAUCGCCAGAAGUCUGCAGGAGGUGCAGCAAAGAGGUCCUAGCGACCAUGGCAGCACAUCCGCGGCUGGUCCACCUCUGGCUGCUUCUCCACCACCAAGCGCCUGCCCCACAUGUGUUUCUUUUCUCCCAGGAGUGGACUGUAGCCAGGGAGAGCGGCCAGAGGAGCAAGGACGGUCAGCCCCUGCCUCCUCUCCUGCACGGCUGCACGUGAUGGGGAUUACGAGCAGCGUACGUGAUUUUGGCAAGUACAGAUGAUAAAGAUUCAUGAUUUGGCUGCGCGCAUGCUUGCUGGCUGGAGGAGUUUGAUUCAUUACUUAAUGGCCUCAAAAUGGAUACAGGAUCUGUUGGAAUCAAGAAGGCGUUAAGGACGACGUCAAAAGCAAAAGGAACUAAGGAAGGGUUCUCGAGGUCUGCUCCUUCUCCACCGGUAGAGAGGAGCCUCCUUCUCAUGAUUCGCCUGUCUGCCCGGGCCCUCCCCGGCUAAAGCUGACGCCAUGGAAGGCCCCUUACCCCUCUUCCUCCUCUCUUCUGUUCCCUCUUUGUUAUAGGCGCAGUCAAUUUUUUUUGUUCUUUCUCUCUUUCCAAUUUAAACAUGAGCAUGCCCGUGCUCUCUUUUUGGUUGUGGUAGCUGUCAUAUCAUGUUGCAAUUUAGUUACAUUUUUUGGUCCCAUGUAUAUCCAAAUCAAAAAACACUUGUGGUGUGGUACAGUUAUAUUGCAAGUCGAAAAAUAUUAUAUGUGUUAACAUCGGAUGGUCCAAGUUGAAAUUCAGUUUGUAUUAUUCAAUAUGCAUUCUAACAAACAUGUUCUGUUUGGCAUCAUACUAUCAUUCAACUUAAAAGAUGCUUAACCGGUUAACCCAA
Molecule: long non-coding RNA, 3509 nt
Organism: Triticum aestivum (bread wheat)
Lineage: Eukaryota; Viridiplantae; Streptophyta; Magnoliopsida; Poales; Poaceae
Exons: 6
Source: RefSeq, a predicted model, not a curated record